UGGGGAAUAUUGCGCUAAUGCGCGAAAGCGUGACGCAGCGACGCCGCGUGGGGGAUGAAGGCCUUCGGGUUGUAAACCCCUUUCGCCAGGGACGAAGCGAAAGUGACGGUACCUGGAGAAGAAGUCCCGGCUAACUACGUGCCAGCAGCCGCGGUAACACGUAGGGGACGAGCGUUGUCCGGAUUCAUUGGGCGUAAAGCGCGCGUAGGCGGUCGUGCAAGUCGGUUGUGAAAUCCCGGGGCUCAACCCCGGGACUGCGUCCGAUACUGCACGACUGGAGGCAGGUAGGGGAGAUCGGAAUUCCUGAUGUGGCGGUGAAAUGCGCAGAUAUCAGGAGGAACACCGGUGGCGAAGGCGGAUCUCUGGGCCUUGCCUGACGCUGAGGCGCGAAAGCUAGGGGAGCGAACAGGAUUAGAUACCCUGGUAGUCCUAGCCGUAAACGUUGGGUGCUAGGUGUGGGCGGACAUCGACCCCGUCCGUGCCGAAGCUAACGCAUUAAGCACCCCGCCUGGGGA
This 515-nucleotide ribosomal RNA is filed under the name uncultured Actinomycetes bacterium. Its description in RNAcentral is "bacterial SSU rRNA". It matches the Rfam family "Bacterial small subunit ribosomal RNA", at positions 355 to 879 of the family's 1533-position model. The record is from RNAcentral. Lineage: Bacteria; Bacillati; Actinomycetota; Actinomycetes.